RNAcentral lists this ribosomal RNA (440 nucleotides) under uncultured bacterium. RNAcentral describes it as "partial 16S ribosomal RNA". It matches the Rfam family "Bacterial small subunit ribosomal RNA", at positions 338 to 795 of the family's 1533-position model. The record is from RNAcentral.
CCUACGGGAGGCAGCAGUAGGGAAUAUUGCUCAAUGGGGGAAACCCUGAAGCAGCAACGCCGCGUGGAGGAUGAAGGUCUUAGGAUUGUAAACUCCUUUUGUUAGAGAAGAUUAUGACGGUAUUUAACGAAUAACCACCGGCUAACUCCGUGCCAGCAGCCGUGGUAAUACGGAGGGUGCAAGCGUUACUCGGAAUCACUGGGCGUAAAGAGUGCGUAGGCGGGGUAAUAAGUCAGAUGUGAAAACCUGUAGCUUAAAUACAGAACUGCAGUUGAAACUGUUACUCUGGAGUGAGGGAGAGGUAGGUGGAAUGCUUGGUGUAGGGGUAAAAUCCGUAGAGAUCAAGCAGAAUUCUGAUUGCGAAGGCGACCUACUGGAACAUUACUGACGCUGAUGCACGAAAGCGUGGGGAGCGAACAGGAUUAGAUACCCGGGUAGUC